AAGCGGUGGAGCAUGUGGUUCAAUUCGAAGCAACGCGCAGAACCUUACCUGGGUUUGACAUGCACUGUUCAAUCCGUGAAAGCGGGUGGCGUAGCAAUACGCGAAGUGCACAGGUGCUGCAUGGCUGUCGUCAGCUCGUGUCGUGAGAUGUCGGGUUAAGUCCCUUAACGAGCGAAACCUUUGCCCUUAGUUACUAACGAGUUAUGUCGAGGACUCUAAGGGGACUGCCGGUGUCAAACCGGAGGAAGGUGGAGAUG
This 257-nucleotide ribosomal RNA is filed under the name uncultured Planctomycetota bacterium. Its description in RNAcentral is "uncultured planctomycete partial 16S ribosomal RNA". It matches the Rfam family "Bacterial small subunit ribosomal RNA", at positions 927 to 1181 of the family's 1533-position model. The record is from RNAcentral. Lineage: Bacteria; Pseudomonadati; Planctomycetota.